Molecule: ribosomal RNA, 518 nt
Filed under: Sporobolomyces koalae
Lineage: Eukaryota; Fungi; Basidiomycota; Microbotryomycetes; Sporidiobolales; Sporidiobolaceae
Description: LSU rRNA
Rfam family: Eukaryotic large subunit ribosomal RNA
Source: RNAcentral
CGAGCGAAGCGGGAAAAGCUCAAAUUUGUAAUCUGGCGCCUUCGGCGUCCGAGUUGUAAUCUCGAGAAGUGUUUUCCGUGAUAGACUGCAUACAAGUCCCUUGGAACAGGGCGUCAUAGUGGUGAGAACCCAGUACACGAUGCAGAUGCCUAUUACUUUGUGAUACACUUUCGAAGAGUCGAGUUGUUUGGGAAUGCAGCUCAAAUUGGGUGGUAAAUUCCAUCUAAAGCUAAAUAUUGGCGAGAGACCGAUAGCGAACAAGUACCGUGAGGGAAAGAUGAAAAGCACUUUGGAAAGAGAGUUAACAGUACGUGAAAUUGUUGGAAGGGAAACACAUGCAGUGAUACUUGCUAUUCGGGGCAACUCGAUUGGCAGGCCCGCAUCAGUUUUUCGGGGCGGAAAAUCGUAGAAAGAAGGUAGCAGUUUCGGCUGUGUUAUAGCUCUUUACUGGAUUCGCCCUGGGGGACUGAGGAACGCAGCGUGCUUUUUGCAUGAGCUUCGGCUUAUCCACGCUUAGG